Molecule: ribosomal RNA, 1171 nt
Filed under: uncultured archaeon
Lineage: Archaea
Description: bacterial SSU rRNA
Rfam family: Archaeal small subunit ribosomal RNA
Source: RNAcentral
CAAUCUAACCUAUGGAUGAGGAUAACCUCGGGAAACUGAGAAUAAUACUCAAUAGAUCAUUAUACCUGGAACGGUUUAUGGUUCAAAUGAAUUUCGCCAUAGGGUGGGACUGCGGUCUAUCAGCUUGUUGGUGAGGUAAUGGCCCACCAAGGCUAUAACAGAUACGGGCUCUGAGAGGAGAAGCCCGGAGAUGGGUACUGAGACACGGACCCAGGCCCUAUGGGGCGCAGCAGGCGAGAAAACUUUGCAAUGUGCGAAGGCACGACAAGGUUAAUCCGAGUGAUUCCUGCUAAAGGAAUCUUUUGUUAGUCAUAAUACCACUGAUGAAUAAGGGGUGGGCAAGUUCUGGUGUCAGCCGCCGCGGUAAAACCAGCACCUCAAGUGGUCAGGAGGAUUAUUGGGCCUAAAGCAUCCGUAGCCUGCUCUGUAAGUUUUCGGUUAAAUCUAUAUGCUCAACAUAUAGGCUGCCGGAAAUACUGCAGAGCUAGGAAGUGGGAGGGGUAGACGGUACUCCGUAGGAAGGGGUAAAAUCCUUUGAUCUAUGGAUGACCACCUGUGGCGAAGGCGGUCUACCAGAACACGUUCGACGGUGAGGGAUGAAAGCUGGGGGAGCAAACCGGAUUAGAUACCCGGGUAGUCCCAGCUGUAAACUAUGCAAACUCGGUGAUGCAUUGGCUUGUGGCCAGUGCAGUGCCGCAGGGAAGCCGUUAAGUUUGCCGCCUGGGAAGUACGUACGCAAGUAUGGAACUUAAAGGAAUUGGCGGGGGAGCACCACAAGGGGUGAAGCCUGCGGUUCAAUUGGAGUCAACGCCAGAAAUCUUACCCGAGGAGACAGCAGAAUGAAGGUCAAGCUGGAGACUUUACCAAACAAGCUGAGAAGUGGUGCAUGGCCGUCGCCAGCUCGUGCCGUGAGAUGUCCUGUUAAGUCAGGUAACGAGCGAGAUCCCUGCCUCUAGUUGCCACCAUUACUCUCAGGAGUAGUGGGGCGAAUUAGAGGGACCGCCACAGUUAAUGUGGAGGAAGGAAGGGGCCACGGCAGGUCAGUAUGCCCUGAAACCUUGGGGCCACACGCGGGCUGCAAUGGUAGUGACAAUGAGUUCCUAAUCCGAAAGGAGGAGGUAAUCUUCAAACGCUACCACAGUUAUGAUUGAGGGCUGCACUCGCCUCAUGA